CCCCCCUAGAUCCGCCCCUGGCUUUAUUUUGAUAGUUUUUUUUGCAAGAAACAGAAACAUGGCUUUCUUUUGAAAAAACGGCAGUUCAUCUGUCAUAAAAAAGCGGCUGCAGGGUUUCACUCCAAGUAGGGCAAAGGUGUGGCUGAAAGUGGGAGUGGUCAAUAAGUGGGUGUGGCCAUGACCACACUCACAUGUCUUGCUCUUGAGUUUUAAGACUGUUAAGGCUUCUAUGUCAGCAUUUUGUGAAGAAAUCAAGUUGAAAAAGGCUCUGAAAUUCUCAAUGAAGAGUUACCCUGCCAUUCUUGUGUUCAA
Amphimedon queenslandica is the source of this 312-nucleotide long non-coding RNA. RefSeq lists it as uncharacterized. The transcript has 2 exons. Lineage: Eukaryota; Metazoa; Porifera; Demospongiae; Haplosclerida; Niphatidae. The record is from RefSeq and is a predicted model, not a curated record.